CGCCAAUCGAAGUUACGACCGGUACAACAUUAUUAUUAUUUAUUACCAUUCGGUACGUAUUAUGCGACGUUAUUAUGUAAGUAUACUUCAUUCGCGUGCACGGUGUGUGUCGAAAUGUUUAUCCAUAUUGAGCCGUGUAUGAUGAUGAUGACGCACGUUGUGAAGGGCGCGGUCAGGGGUCAUGACUGACAACAGGACACCACGCAGCAAAUCAACAAAAAUUCCCGAUAAACAAUCUCAAAUAAAAUUUAAACGCUAUAUUAUAAUAUAAUAUAUUAAUUUCGAUUGCGCACUAAACGUUUAUAGUAUUCUCCCACAAUAUUAAUAUCGAUCUGCCAAAAGAAAACUCGCUUAAAAAACUAAAAAUCUAACUUGAAAAUAAAUUUGAAGAAUAUGAAGAAAUUGUCAAAACUUUAGACAGCUGUAAGUUGUAAUUAAUGAAUUAUUCUGUACUUUUUGCACUUUAUUUGAAAUUUAAAAAAACCCUAAAUGCUCGCCGCUAGGUAUCCUUCAAUCAACACCUCAAAAGUACUUAUAUUUUUCAACAUUUUUAGAAUAUAUGAAGCCAUGUAGGUAUUCAAUACUAUAAUACAGUAACAUGGUAAUACAUAAUAUAAUAUAUAAUAUAUAUAAUAUAUAUACGUGUUUGUAAUAUCCAUGUCUAUGUACCUAGGCUUAACUCAUGUUAAUUAAAGUAACCAGGCACGUAUACAAAAAAAAUGGGGAGGGGUUGAACCCCCCCCCUGUAUACGUGCCUGAAUGUAACUGAGAAUAAUAAUUAUAUUAUACUACGUUAUUAUUGAUUAUUGUUAAUAAUAUUAUAAUUAAGUUUAAAAACUAUUUAUUUACGAUAUUAUAAUAAAGC
This is a long non-coding RNA of Rhopalosiphum padi (bird cherry-oat aphid), 865 nucleotides long. RefSeq lists it as uncharacterized. Lineage: Eukaryota; Metazoa; Arthropoda; Insecta; Hemiptera; Aphididae. The transcript is spliced from 3 exons. The record is from RefSeq and is a predicted model, not a curated record.